GACGAACGCUGGCGGCGUGCUUAACACAUGCAAGUCGAACGGAAAGGCCCUGCUUUUGUGGGGUGCUCGAGUGGCGAACGGGUGAGUAACACGUGAGUAACCUGCCCUUGACUUUGGGAUAACUUCAGGAAACUGGGGCUAAUACCGGAUAGGAGCUCCUGCUGCAUGGUGGGGGUUGGAAAGUUUCGGCGGUUGGGGAUGGACUCGCGGCUUAUCAGCUUGUUGGUGGGGUAGUGGCUUACCAAGGCUUUGACGGGUAGCCGGCCUGAGAGGGUGACCGGCCACAUUGGGCCUGAGAUACGGCCCAGACUCCUACGGGAGGCAGCAGUGGGGAAUAUUGCACAAUGGGCGGAAGCCUGAUGCAGCAACGCCGCGUGCGGGAUGACGGCUUUCGGGUUGUAAACCGCUUUCGCCUGUGACGAAGCGUGAGUGACGGUAAUGGGUAAAGAAGCACCGGCUAACUACGUG
This 468-nucleotide ribosomal RNA is filed under the name uncultured bacterium. RNAcentral's name for it is "partial 16S ribosomal RNA". It matches the Rfam family "Bacterial small subunit ribosomal RNA", at positions 28 to 507 of the family's 1533-position model. The record is from RNAcentral.